Molecule: transfer RNA, 76 nt
Filed under: Burkholderiaceae bacterium
Lineage: Bacteria; Pseudomonadati; Pseudomonadota; Betaproteobacteria; Burkholderiales; Burkholderiaceae
Description: tRNA-Trp
Rfam family: tRNA
About the family: Transfer RNA (tRNA) molecules are approximately 80 nucleotides in length.
Source: RNAcentral
GGGUAAGUAGCUCAACUGGCAGAGCAGCGGUCUCCAAAACCGCAGGUUGAAGGUUCGAGUCCUUCCUCGCCCGCCA